This is a long non-coding RNA of Manihot esculenta (cassava), 1912 nucleotides long. RefSeq lists it as uncharacterized. The record is from RefSeq and is a predicted model, not a curated record. The transcript has 2 exons. Lineage: Eukaryota; Viridiplantae; Streptophyta; Magnoliopsida; Malpighiales; Euphorbiaceae.
GAGAAACUACUAUUAAGUGUAGACCAAACAAAAAAAAACUAACUAAAAUAUCACCAUAUGCCCUCCACCACAAACCUCUCGAAAUGCCUAUAUGUUGAUACAACAACUAUGAAUAUAAAUUACUCAUAUUUAAUUAUACACUCAAAUCAGUACUUUUUUAUUUUUUAAAGAGAGAAAUUUUCUAUUCUUUUUUAUUUUUAUAUAAAGGUUUAGCUCUCUUGUCGUUGCCGCUCAUAGGCCUCGUCUAUCCCUCGGAACAGGAGAAGAUCGACCUUUGCCCUCCCGAUCCUUUGCAGGGUUCCUUUUGCUGAACAACGAAGAGAAGUUCUUUUACUCAAAGGUUUUGGUUCUUCAUUUGGUGGCUAUGGAGAGGAGGUCAACUGGGUUCUUGUUAAUGGUUCUUUUGUUGUCCUUGCAACUUUUGGAAUCUCUUUCCCUUCUUUUUCAUAUCUUUUGAGCAUCUUUUAACAAGAAAAGUCAAAUUUGGGGUUUUUAUUUUUAUUGUGAUAGCAAAGACAAUAAGUUUGCCGGAAGAAGCUCACAAAGCUAAGUCUAAUCCCAAAGGCGCGAGAGAAUUCAUCAAAGAGCCUUCCUCCUCCAUGUCUCAUCGUUGGGAGUUGAUAUUGAUUUUUCUUGUUGGCUUCUCUGGACAUGCAUCCUCCUUAGUGGAUGGCCCCGUUCUCUUUGUGGUUAGUCGACUCUUUUUCCUUUAAUUCCCAACUCCUUUCUUAUCCAGAAGACCUUUCUGGAAAUCAGCUCCUUGACAAUCGAUGUUGUGCAUCUUUAGAGGCGGCACUGGUGCUAGUUUGCUUGGAUUGUUGGGUCAAGGUAGGUGGAUUCCUUGCAAGUUCCAAUUUAGUUUUAGUUUUGGAUCGUGGACCUCUGUGCUUUGGGGUUGGGUUGGCCUCUUUGUAAUGAGUUGCACUUUUUAGAUACUUUAAGCUAGGUCUAUGAUAUUUGCUCAUUGCCUUUAAGACUUAAUGAAAUAUUAUCUUUGUAAAAAAAAAAAUUCGCUCGUUAGGAUGGGCAUUCAAUCGAAAUCGAGUUAAAGAGUUUUACUUAAAUUAAAUCGAACUAAAUAAGAGAAAAAAAAAAUCAAAUCAAUUGAAUCCAUCUAAUUUAGUUAGAUUCAUUCAUUUUCAGUCUUUUCAAAGAACAGCUAACACAAAAUUUAAACACAAUUUCAAAGCUCAACGGCACAGUUAUAUGAUUUUCUCAAUAGUUAAUACUCCUGAGAAUAAAAAAUAGAAGCCUAGAACUCCUAAGAAUAAAAAAUAGUUACCUUCUUGGCUUCUAUAGUUAAUUCAACACUCAACAGCACACAACACAGUAGAAGAGUGGAUCUGCAGAUCUUCAACAGCGAAUCGACGACAGAGCUACAGGACUGGAGGCGCGAGAGCUGACAAGGAAAGCAAAGCAAUGGAGUCCACUUGCCUCUUGGUCUCGGAGACUGGUCGACAGAGUGGAAGCACGAUCUGAGAUGGUGAGAGGCUGAUUGAGAGGACGGAGAGGACAGAGGAAUCACACGGUCGCGCGUAUAUGAACAGCAACGAGCCGACUAUGCAUGGAGACUAGAGAGCGACGUCGACGAUGCGUGGAGAGACUGGAGAGUGACGAUGCGAGCAAUGCCGGCGGCCCGACGGUGCAUGAAGACAUUGGAGAGUGACAAUGUGUGGAUGUGGAGUCACUAGAGAGUGGCAGAGGACUCGCGACGCCGACAGCCCGAUGAUAUGUGGAGAGGAUACUAGACUGAAGGAGAGUGGAGAGUGAGAUGCGUGCGACUGUGUGGAGAGUGGAGACAGACUAGAGGAAAGAGUGAAAGGACGUCAAUGGAUGGGAAUUGAAACUCUUUUAGAUUAGGGAACUGUUAAACGAUACAGUAUUAAUUUUAUUCGAUUUGGGGUGGUCCAAC